Long non-coding RNA from Triticum aestivum (bread wheat), 528 nucleotides. RefSeq lists it as uncharacterized. Lineage: Eukaryota; Viridiplantae; Streptophyta; Magnoliopsida; Poales; Poaceae. The record is from RefSeq and is a predicted model, not a curated record. The transcript has 2 exons.
AGUCUCCCAGCUAACUAACCGAUCCCCGUGUCCUCCCCUCCUUCCCUCCCUCCCUCCUCCGUGUCGCCUGUGAGCACCGCACGAGGAUGAGGGUGCUGGGCAGGAACGUGUCCCCGAGGCAGAUCGCGCUGCUCGCCGCAGGGUAGGCAAGAGGCUGGUGUUCUUGGGGGCGACGACGUACGACGUGCACCGCUCCAUCAAGAACAACGACCAGCCCCCGACCAGGGAGCAGGUGGCGGCGCUCCAGGACUUCAUCGACUCCAGAAAGCGCUAAUUUGGAUUUUGGGGCCGCCGAUGCUCGACCGAUUCCCCUGAGCGGCUGCGCGGUGUAUAUGCUUGUGAUCUCUGUUCCGUGGUGCGUUCGUCUGAAUCAAUAAGAGCGGCCAUGGAUGUGUCGACAUUAUUAUUAUUCCCCAAAGGAGCAACUGGCUGGUGUGUAUGCAUGUAUGUAAACCGUGUACAGUGAACCAAUUUCCGUUUCUCCCAUGUUGCAUCGGAAUGGCUUUGUUGGCCAGUGCUCGUGUAUUA